Molecule: ribosomal RNA, 468 nt
Filed under: uncultured bacterium
Lineage: Bacteria
Description: partial 16S ribosomal RNA
Rfam family: Bacterial small subunit ribosomal RNA
Source: RNAcentral
GACGAACGCUGGCGGCGUGCUUAACACAUGCAAGUCGAACGGAAAGGCCCUGCUUUUGUGGGGUGCUCGAGUGGCGAACGGGUGAGUAACACGUGAGUAACCUGCCCUUGACUUUGGGAUAACUUCAGGAAACUGGGGCUAAUACCGGAUAGGAGCUCCUGCUGCAUGGUGGGGGUUGGAAAGUUUCGGCGGUUGGGGAUGGACUGGCGGCUUAUCAGCUUGUUGGUGGGGUAGUGGCUUACCAAGGCUUUGACGGGUAGCCGGCCUGGGAGGGUGGCCGGCCACAUUGGGACUGAGAUACGGCGCAGACUCCUACGGGAGGCAGCAGUGGGGAAUAUUGCACAAUGGGCGGAAGUCUGAUGCGGCAGCGCCGCGUGCGGAAUGACGGCCUUCGGGUUGUAAACCGCUGUCGCCUGUGACGAAGCGGGAGUGACGGUAAUGGGUAAAGAAGCACCGGCUAACUACGUG